This 465-nucleotide ribosomal RNA is filed under the name uncultured bacterium. RNAcentral describes it as "partial 16S ribosomal RNA". It matches the Rfam family "Bacterial small subunit ribosomal RNA", at positions 339 to 795 of the family's 1533-position model. The record is from RNAcentral.
CUACGGGGUGCUCCAGUGGGGAAUAUUGGACAAUGGGGGAAACCCUGAUCCAGCAAUGCCGCGUGUGUGAAGAAGGCCUGCGGGUUGUAAAGCACUUUCGGUUGGGAGGACUGCUUCUAGCACUAAUAUUGUUGGAAGUUGACGUUACCUUCAGAAGAAGCACCGGCUAACUCCGUGCCAGCAGCCGCGGUAAUACGGAGGGUGCAAGCGUUAAUCGGAAUUACUGGGCGUAAAGCGCGCGUAGGCGGCUAGAUCAGUCGGGUGUGAAAGCCCCGGGCUUAACCUGGGAACUGCAUCCGAUACUGGCUAGCUUGAGUACAGGAGAGGAGAGUGGAAUUCCACAUGUAGCGGUGAAAUGCGUAGAUAUGUGGAGGAACACCAAUGGCGAAGGCAGCUCUCUGGCCUGAUACUGACGCUGAGGUGCGAAAGCGUGGGGAUCAAACAGGAUUAGAUACCCUAGUAGUC